CAAGUCGAACGCGAAAGUUCCCUUCGGGGAGCGAGUAGAGUGGCGCACGGGUGAGUAACACGUAGGUAAUCUACCUUUGGAUGGGGAAUAACACCGAGAAAUCGGUGCUAAUACCGCAUAAUGCAGCGGCACCUAAUGGUGACAGUUGUUAAAGCGGGGGAUCGCAAGACCUCGCGUCUAAAGAGGAGCCUGCGGCGGAUUAGCUAGUUGGUAAGGUAAUGGCUUACCAAGGCGAUGAUCCGUAACCGGCCUGAGAGGGCGGUCGGUCACACUGACACUGACAUACGGGUCAGACUCCUACGGGAGGCAGCGGUCGGGAAUUUUGGGCAAUGGGCGAAAGCCUGACCCAGCAACGCCGCGUGAAGGAUGAAAUCCCUCGGGAUGUAAACUUCGCAAGAACAGGAAGAAUAAGUAAGGGUUAAUAUCUCUUACGAUGACGGUACUGUUUGUAAGCUCCGGCUAACUCCGUGCCAGCAGCCGCGGUAAUACGGGGGGAGCAAGCGUUGUUCGGAUUUACUGGGCGUAAAGGGCGGGUAGGCGGCCACCGCAAGUCAGUUGUGAAAUCUCCGGGCUUAACCCGGAAAGGUCAACUGAUACUGCGGGGCUAGAGUGCAGAAGGGGCAACUGGAAUUCUCGGUGUAGCGGUGAAAUGCGUAGAUAUCGAGAGGAACACCUGCGGCGAAGGCGGGUUGCUGGGCUGACACUGACGCUGAACUGCGAAAGCUAGGGGAGCGAACGGGAUUAGAUACCCCGGUAGUCCUAGCCUUAAACGAUGAAUGCUUGGUGUCUGGGGUUUUAUAGUCCCCGGGUGCCGUCGCUAACGCUUUAAGCAUUCCGCCUGGGGAAUACGGUCGCAAGACUGAAACUCAAAGGAAUUGACGGGGACCCGCACAAGCGGUGGA
This 902-nucleotide ribosomal RNA is filed under the name uncultured Bacillota bacterium. RNAcentral describes it as "bacterial SSU rRNA". It matches the Rfam family "Bacterial small subunit ribosomal RNA", at positions 58 to 936 of the family's 1533-position model. The record is from RNAcentral. Lineage: Bacteria; Bacillati; Bacillota.